RNAcentral lists this ribosomal RNA (1258 nucleotides) under uncultured bacterium. Its description in RNAcentral is "partial 16S ribosomal RNA". It matches the Rfam family "Bacterial small subunit ribosomal RNA", at positions 33 to 1289 of the family's 1533-position model. The record is from RNAcentral.
GCCCCUGUGCCGCAGCCUUAAAUGCAGUCGAACGGCAGCGCGGGGCAACCUGGCGGCGAGUGGCGAACGGGUGAGUAAUAUAUCGGAACGUGCCCUGGAGUGGGGGAUAACGCAGCGAAAGUUGCGCUAAUACCGCAUACGAUCUAAGGAUGAAAGCGGGGGAUUCGCAAGAACCUCGUGCUCCUGGAGCGGCCGAUAUCUGAUUAGCUAGUUGGUGGGGUAAAGGCCUACCAAGGCAUCGAUCAGUAGCUGGUCUGAGAGGACGACCAGCCACACUGGAACUGAGACACGGUCCAGACUCCUACGGGAGGCAGCAGUGGGGAAUUUUGGACAAUGGGCGAGAGCCUGAUCCAGCAAUGCCGCGUGAGUGAAGAAGGCCUUCGGGUUGUAAAGCUCUUUUGUCAGGGAAGAAACGGUGAAGGCUAAUAUCCUUUGCUAAUGACGGUACCUGAAGAAUAAGCACCGGCUAACUACGUGCCAGCAGCCGCGGUAAUACGUAGGGUGCAAGCGUUAAUCGGAAUUACUGGGCGUAAAGCGUGCGCAGGCGGUUUUGUAAGUCUGUCGUGAAAUCCCCGGGCUCAACCUGGGAAUUGCGAUGGAGACUGCAAGGCUAGAAUCUGGCAGAGGGGGGUAGAAUUCCACGUGUAGCAGUGAAAUGCGUAGAGAUGUGGAGGAACACCGAUGGCGAAGGCAGCCCCCUGGGUCAAGAUUGACGCUCAUGCACGAAAGCGUGGGGAGCAAACAGGAUUAGAUACCCUGGUAGUCCACGCCCUAAACGAUGUCUACUAGUUGUCGGGUUUUAAUUAACUUGGUAACGCAGCUAACGCGUGAAGUAGACCGCCUGGGGAGUACGGUCGCAAGAUUAAAACUCAAAGGAAUUGACGGGGACCCGCACAAGCGGUGGAUGAUGUGGAUUAAUUCGAUGCAACGCGAAAAACCUUACCUACCCUUGACAUGUACGGGAAGCCACGAGAGAUCGAAGGCGUGCUCGAAGAGAGCCGUAACACAGUGCUGCAUGGCCUGUCGUCAGCUCGUGUCGUGAGAAUGUUGGGUUUAAGUUCCCGCAACGAGCGCCAACUCUUGUCAUUAGUUUGCCUACGAAAGAGCCACCUCCUAAUGAGACUGCCCGGUGAACAAACGGAGAGUGGGAAUGACGUCCAAGUCCUCAUGCCUAUGGUUAGGCUUCCACCACGUCAAUACAUGGUACAAUACCAGAGCUCGCCUAACCUCGUAGGGGAGACCUAAUAUACUUCCGCGA